RNAcentral lists this ribosomal RNA (497 nucleotides) under uncultured bacterium. RNAcentral's name for it is "partial 16S ribosomal RNA". It matches the Rfam family "Bacterial small subunit ribosomal RNA", at positions 28 to 507 of the family's 1533-position model. The record is from RNAcentral.
GAUGAACGCUGGCGGCGUGCCUAAUACAUGCAAGUCGAGCGAACGGACGAGAAGCUUGCUUUUCUGAUGUUAGCGGCGGACGGGUGAGUAACACGUGGAUAACCUACCUAUAAGACUGGGACAACUUCGGGAAACCGGAGCUAAUACCGGAUAAUAUUUUGAACCGCAUGGUUCAAAAGUGAAAGACGGUCUUGCUGUCACUUAUAGAUGGAUCCGCGCUGCAUUAGCUAGUUGGUAAGGUAACGGCUUACCAAGGCAACGAUGCAUAGCCGACCUGAGAGGGUGAUCGGCCACACUGGAACUGAGACACGGUCCAGACUCCUACGGGAGGCAGCAGUAGGGAAUCUUCCGCAAUGGGCGAAAGCCUGACGGAGCAACGCCGCGUGAGUGAUGAAGGUCUUCGGAUCGUAAAACUCUGUUAUUAGGGAAGAACAUAUGUGUAAGUAACUGUGCACAUCUUGACGGUACCUAAUCAGAAAGCCACGGCUAACUACGUG